AGAGUUUGAUCAUGGCUCAGAAUGAACGCUGGCGGCGUGCUUAACACAUGCAAGUCGUACGAGAACGCUUCAGCUUGCUGAAAGUAAAGUGGCGUACGGGUGAGUAACGCGUGGGUAAUCUACCUCCGAAUUGGGGAUAACGUUGCGAAAGCGACGCUAAUACCGGAUAAUAUCCUUUUGACUUUGGUCAUGGGGAUCAAAGGUGGCCUCUUCAUGAAAGCUACUGUUUGGAGAUGAGCCCGCGUCCCAUUAGCUUGUUGGCGGGGUAACGGCCCACCAAGGCAACGAUGGGUAGCUGGUCUGAGAGGAUGAUCAGCCACACUGGAACUGGAACACGGUCCAGACUCCUACGGGAGGCAGCAGUGAGGAAUUUUGCGCAAUGGGGGAAACCCUGACGCAGCAACGCCGCGUGAGUGAUGAAGGCUUUCGGGUCGUAAAGCUCUGUCAAGUGGGAAGAACCGCCGUGGGGUUAAUAUCCUUAUGGCCUGACGGUACCACUGAAGGAAGCACCGGCUAACUCCGUGCCAGCAGCCGCGGUAAUACGGGGGGUGCAAGCGUUAUUCGGAUUUACUGGGCGUAAAGCGCGCGUAGGCGGCCGUUUAAGUCAGAUGUGAAAGCCCGGGGCUCAACCCUGGAAGUGCAUUUGAUACUAUUCGGCUUGAGUAUGGGAGAGGGAAGUGGAAUUCCUGGUGUAGAGGUGAAAUUCGUAGAUAUCAGGAGGAACACCGGUGGCGAAGGCGACUUCCUGGACCAAUACUGACGCUGAGGCGCGAAGGCGUGGGGAGCAAACAGGAUUAGAUACCCUAGUAGUCC
RNAcentral lists this ribosomal RNA (813 nucleotides) under uncultured bacterium. Its description in RNAcentral is "bacterial SSU rRNA". It matches the Rfam family "Bacterial small subunit ribosomal RNA", at positions 8 to 796 of the family's 1533-position model. The record is from RNAcentral.